CAUCCCAUAGUCUAGUGGUUAGGACCCCAGGUUUUGACUCUGGUAGCCUGAGUUCGAAUCUCAGUGGGAUCU
Molecule: non-coding RNA, 72 nt
Organism: Powellomyces hirtus
Lineage: Eukaryota; Fungi; Chytridiomycota; Chytridiomycetes; Spizellomycetales; Powellomycetaceae
Source: the annotation of a GenBank genome assembly